RNAcentral lists this ribosomal RNA (483 nucleotides) under uncultured bacterium. Its description in RNAcentral is "partial 16S ribosomal RNA". It matches the Rfam family "Bacterial small subunit ribosomal RNA", at positions 30 to 506 of the family's 1533-position model. The record is from RNAcentral.
AUUGAACGCUGGCGGCAGGCCUAACACAUGCAAGUCGAGCGGAUGAAGGGAGCUUGCUCCUGGAUUCAGCGGCGGACGGGUGAGUAAUGCCUAGGAAUCUGCCUGGUAGUGGGGGAUAACGUCCGGAAACGGGCGCUAAUACCGCAUACGUCCUGCGGGAGAAAGUGGGGGAUCUUCGGACCUCACGCUAUCAGAUGAGCCUAGGUCGGAUUGGCUAGUUGGUGGGGUAAAGGCCUACCAAGGCGACGAUCCGUAACUGGUCUGAGAGGAUGAUCAGUCACACUGGAACUGGGACACGGUCCAGACUCCUACGGGAGGCAGCAGGGGGGAAUAUUGGACAAUGGGCGAAAGCCUGAUCCAGCCAUGCCGCGUGUGUGAAGAAGGUCUUCGGAUUGUAAAGCACUUUAAGGUGGGAGGAAGGGCAGUAAGUUAAUACCUUGCUGUUUUGACGUUACCAACAGAAUAAGCACCGGCUAACUUCGU